UUGGAGACUGGAAUGAACGGUUUAAUUAUUAAAUAUAAGUUUGUGUGUUUAAAUAGUAGUUUAAAGUUUAAGUAAAAAUUCUUUGAUAAACAAAAGGACGACAAGACCCUAAAAGCUUUAUAAUAAGCUAUUUUAUAGUGAAAUAAAAUAAAAUUAAUUUACUGGGGUAGUAAAUUUAUUUAGUUAAAUAAAAUUUAAAAGAAUCUUUAUAUAAAGAUUUAUUGGUUUAGUUACUUUAGGGAUAACAGUGUAAUAUAUUUGAAGAGUCCUUAUCGAUAAAUAUGUUUGCAACCUCGAUGUUGAAUUAGAAAGUCUAUAUGAAGCAAAAAAUAUUUAAGAAAGUUUGUUCAACUUUUAAAUUUCUACAUGAUCUGAGUUCAAACCGG
RNAcentral lists this ribosomal RNA (386 nucleotides) under Jugogammarus kusceri. RNAcentral describes it as "partial 16S ribosomal RNA". The stretch from base 241 to 386 matches the Rfam family "Bacterial large subunit ribosomal RNA", at positions 2473 to 2619 of the family's 2925-position model. The record is from RNAcentral. Lineage: Eukaryota; Metazoa; Arthropoda; Malacostraca; Amphipoda; Gammaridae.